GAUGAACGCUGGCGGUCUGCUUAACACAUGCAAGUCGAACGGGUGUAGCAAUACAUUAGUGGCGGACGGGUGAGUAACGCGUGAGAAUCUACCUUCAGGACGGAGACAACAGUUGGAAACGACUGCUAACCCCCGAUGUACCGCAAGGGCAAAUAUUUAUAGCCUGAAGAAGAGCUCGCGUCCGAUUAGCUAGUUGGGGGGGUAAAGGCCCACCAAGGCGACGAUCGGUAGCUGGUCUGAGAGGACGAUCAGCCACACUGGGACUGAGACACGGCCCAGACUCCUACGGGAGGCAGCAGUGGGGAAUUUUCCGCAAUGGGCGCAAGCCUGACGGAGCAAGACCGCGUGGGGGAAGAAGGCUCUUGGGUUGUAAACUCCUUUUCUCUGGGAAGAACAAAAUGACGGUACCAGAGGAAUCAGCAUCGGUUAACUCCGUGCCAGCAGCCGCGGUAAGACGGAGGAUGCAAGCGUUAUCCGGAAUGAUUGGGCGUAAAGCGUCCGCAGGUGGCAGUUCAAGUCUGCUGUCAAAGACCGGGGCUUAACCUCGGAAAGGCAGUGGAAACUGAACAGCUAGAGUAUGGUAGGGGCAAAGGGAAUUCCUGGUGUAGCGGUGAAAUGCGUAGAGAUCGGGAAGAACAUCGGUGGCGAAGGCGCUUUGCUGGACCAUAACUGACACUCAGGGACGAAAGCUAGGGGAGCGAAUGGGAUUAGAUACCCCAGUAGUCCUAGCCGUAAACGAUGGAUACUAGGUGUUGUCUGUAUCGACCCGGA
Molecule: ribosomal RNA, 771 nt
Filed under: uncultured cyanobacterium
Lineage: Bacteria; Bacillati; Cyanobacteriota
Description: bacterial SSU rRNA
Rfam family: Bacterial small subunit ribosomal RNA
Source: RNAcentral